CCCAUGGUCUGCAACCUUCAUCCCUUCUCCUCCUCCCCCUUGCCGGCCAUGGGGCGCCUCCCGACACCCAAAAAGGGCCUCGCUCCCCCGACCACCUCCCAUCCCGGAGCCGGCACCGGCCACCCGAUUCAAACAACCGCCAGAUGCAGGCCGCCACGACGCCGCACCCCUGGAUCUGACCAUCUCAGACGGCAACCUCCAUCUUCCUUCUCCUCAUCCACCCCAAACAAGGAGCUCGACGACGGCCUCACCAACCGCCCCGUCGCCGGCCUUGCCCCAGGCGAGGACCCUUCCCUUCCUUCCCUUCUUCUUUCUAACAGUCCCCACUCGGGGGUGAGGUUGCCGUGCUCCAAGUCGACAGGCAUCCGUUGAGAAGGACGAAGCGUCUUGGACGUUCGUUUUCACACCCGUGCUCAACGAGGAUUUGCAUCUCACGUGCGAGUGGCUUGUGGUCUGCGCAGCUCGGACGUGCAACCCACUAUUGGUUCCUCCACUGCUACAAGUCCCCCACCUGUUACACUAUCAUCCACGGUGUAGUGCACACGGCCGGAGUAUGCCGCAGCCCACAUCUCCAGCGGGUGCAGCUCGUGGCCUACCAAUGUGCAUUUUUGGCAAUUCGUGUUUGCAGGAUUGGCACAUGUGCUUCCGGUGGAUCCUAGAGGGAUCCUCACCGCCAGCCACGCCACCUCCCACGGGAUCCUCCUGCUGUGUUGUAUGCUCAGAGAUGCUCGCCAUGCGGUUCAGGGCUCGUGCGGGUGCAGUCCGGCAAAGCGCCAUCUCUUCCUCUCUGGUCGGUCGACCAUGGCCGUGCAGCUCGGAGACGCUAGCGAUGCGGUCCGGAGCUCGUGCAUGUGCAGUCCGGGAAGUGCCAUCUCUUCCCCUACAAUCUGUCGACCAUGCCAUGCAACUCAGAACGCUUGACAUGCGGUACAGGAUGUCGUGCGCGUGCAAUCUGGUGAGUGUCCAUGCAUGUGCAGUCCGGCGAGCAUCCAUGUAUGUGUGUUCUGCUGGCCCUCAAAAGCAGUUCUGCUGGUAUAUGUGUGUGGAUGUAAAACAACUAAUGGAUGUAUUUGUGUCUAUGAGCAUCAUCGGCAUCCAUAGACAAAGGUGGAAAACAAAAUGUGAGCUAGUUAGCUCUGCCGUGGCUUUUGUUUUCUGCUGUUCAUUUGUUUGUUAAAAGAUCAAAGAAUGUUGGUGGGAGAUAACAUUCUUUUGAUGCAAUGUAAUUUUUAAUGCAGUUUACUUGCCACAUUCAUGCAACUCACAAACAUUGAUCAUGUAGUCGUCGAGAUGAGUUUACUGAAGAAGUUAAAAAGAAACCAAAA
Triticum dicoccoides is the source of this 1325-nucleotide long non-coding RNA. RefSeq lists it as uncharacterized. The record is from RefSeq and is a predicted model, not a curated record. NCBI's taxonomy places the organism in Eukaryota, Viridiplantae, Streptophyta, Magnoliopsida, Poales, Poaceae. The transcript is spliced from 2 exons.